Molecule: long non-coding RNA, 1238 nt
Organism: Astatotilapia calliptera (eastern happy)
Lineage: Eukaryota; Metazoa; Chordata; Actinopteri; Cichliformes; Cichlidae
Source: Ensembl
GGUAACACAAGGUCUGAGAGCUGCUGGCCAAAUUUUGAAUGGGCCCAAUGUCAAGCGGAAGCUAUUUAGAACAACACAGGUCUCAGCUGUUGGCCACAGAUAAAAUAUAAAGGCAGAUGUGUCUGUGUUUAACGGGUAUAAAUACUUUUUAAAUUUCAAUACAAAAUAAAAAAAAAAGUUGAGACUAAAGUGAUUAUUUCUCCACCUCGACUACACAAGUGCUUCCGCACAUGUUGCUUUCUUCUCUGGAGCCCAAUGAAAAAUAUCGAAUCCUGGUUACCAGGAUCAAACACACAAUUAUUUGUUCUCUUCCCAUUAGGGAAACGCAAGGCUGAAAACACAACAAGGACUUUUGUCCAAUCCAGGUCAAGCAUGGGAGAGUAGAGUGUAGGUAGCACACACGGAGUACUGUUCACCGAGAGAGGGAAUAUGUUAUCUAACCCUGUUUUUUUUUUUUUUUGUUCUCUUCCAUUCCCCUUUGCGAGCAGAGCUGUCCAGUUCUGAGAGAUUCCUAUGGUCCAGGUGCGGGAAAGGCUCCUUAAUCAGCCAAAGUUGAAACAGGAUUACAUGUCACUAAAUUGGCUUACCACUCCUGGAGUUCCUAUGAGCCUUCCCAUUCCCUCAGUCACUGAACUUUCAUGGAUGCUGGAGUACUCUGAGCUCAGCAUAGUGUUGAUUUCAGGAGUUUAGCAAGUGCCCUCUCUAAUGUUUUGAAUGCACCACUACUACUCUCAUCUGGAUAAAACCACUGUUUUGCUAUAGAUCAAUGGUGAAGUUAAGGGAAUGCAUACAUUUAUAAAUAUUAUAUCAAUACCUUUUGCUGCUGAUGGGAGACAGCAGGGGUGAUUUUCAUUUUUUAACAUUAAUUGGCAAAUUGCUUAAAGCCCCCAUGAUGUGGCCGGUCACGCAGUACUCACUGGUUCGUGUAUGUUAUUCAUAGGUAUAUAAAUACAUGGUACCAACACAGUGAUGCCUGGAUGUGCAUGCACCAUGAUGUACAGCUAUUGGCUAGCAGAUAGCUCAGCUGACUUUGGAAACGCCACGCAUAACAUAGAGUACAAUCACGAUACAGGGCGAGAGCAUAGUGACUGAGACGGCUGACACCAUCACAAAAAAUAAAUAAAUAAAUCAUCAAACCUCCAGGACUUGCCCUGAGCACAUUUCAAAUCACUCGAAUGAUGGGCUCACUGUUGGUGUGUGAGGGCCCGCAGGUCUGCACUAAGUGUUUUAACACCGCG